This 436-nucleotide ribosomal RNA is filed under the name uncultured Glomeromycotina. Its description in RNAcentral is "SSU rRNA". It matches the Rfam family "Eukaryotic small subunit ribosomal RNA", at positions 569 to 1012 of the family's 1831-position model. Lineage: Eukaryota; Fungi; Glomeromycota. The record is from RNAcentral.
AGCAGCCGCGGUAAUUCCAGCUCCAAUAGCGUAUAUUAAAGUUGUUGCAGUUAAAAAGCUCGUAGUUGAAUUUCGGGAUCAAGUCGUCGGUCGUGCUUAGGUACGUACUGGCGUCAUUGAUUUCUCCCUUCUGACGAACCAUGAUGUCAUUAAUUUGGUGUCAUGGGAAAUCAGGACUGUUACUUUGAAAAAUUAGAGUGUUUAAAGCAGGCUCACGCUUGAAUACAUUAGCAUGGAAUAAUGAAAUAGGACGUUCGAUCCUAUUUUGUUGGUUUUAGGAUCAACGUAAUGAUUAAUAGGGAUAGUUGGGGGCAUUAGUAUUCAAUUGUCAGAGGUGAAAUUCUUGGAUUUAUUGAAGACUAACUACUGCGAAAGCAUUUGCCAAGGAUGUUUUCAUUAAUCAAGAACGAAAGUUAGGGGAUCGAAGACGAUCAGA